GGAAGUGGAGGAGGAGGAGGAUCAGGAGGUGGAGGAGGAUCAGGAGGAAACGGAAGAGUCGUAAUGCCAGGUAAACCAAUCUGGAAAAAAUUCUUCCCGGGAUUUGGUCUUGGAAAAGGAUCAGCAUUCGGUAGUGGAGGAGGAUCUGGUAAUGGUAGUGGUCAAGGAUCAGCAUUAACAGAUGGAGAUAAGGAACCUAUGCCAGAAACAGGUGGGGCAGGUGAGGUGCAGCCGGGUAAAGUCUUUAUUGAAACAGAAGCUGAUGCUAGUUCUAGUGCAUCGGUAUCGAAUGCUGAAGCAGAGCCUGUAGAGGAAAUGUGAACCAGUCUACAGAUAACUUAAUGUACUCUGUGGUGGUCCUGACACUAUUAUGGUUGAGAGGUGUAUGCCAAUUAAUACCUGCAACGACGCUACACUUCACAACACACCCUCAGCUGACCACGGCCAACGGUCACCUCAACUCUCCUCCAUCACAAAAAGAUUAUAUAUUUUAUUAAUUAUUUAAUUGCUAUCGUCUUAUUUCUGUAUUUACUUAAAAUGUGUGAAAAUAGUAUAAAAAAUAUUUCUUUGUAAAUUAUCCUACAAUUCAAUAAAUUGUAUUCUUCA
This is a long non-coding RNA of Homarus americanus (American lobster), 606 nucleotides long. RefSeq lists it as uncharacterized. The record is from RefSeq and is a predicted model, not a curated record. NCBI's taxonomy places the organism in Eukaryota, Metazoa, Arthropoda, Malacostraca, Decapoda, Nephropidae. The transcript is spliced from 2 exons.